RNAcentral lists this transfer-messenger RNA (350 nucleotides) under Dehalococcoidia. RNAcentral describes it as "UBA11996 sp002320875 Standard tmRNA". It matches the Rfam family "transfer-messenger RNA". From Rfam's summary of the family: Bacterial tmRNA, also known as 10Sa RNA or SsrA, is named for its dual tRNA and mRNA-like properties. The record is from RNAcentral. Lineage: Bacteria; Bacillati; Chloroflexota. RNAcentral also lists the same sequence under 2 other names.
GGGGACGCGCGGAUUCGACAGUGGAUGUCACCGCGGGAUUGCAGGUCGGGGCGCCUUCCACCUCGUUAACAAGAUGGCAAAAAAAGUAACUGGCGAUAAAGAGCUAGCACUAGCCGCUUAAGCGGCUACGUCAACCACGCCCGAUCCCCGAAGGGGGUGAAUUGGCGCCAAUAGACGGGGUGCAGCCAGUUGGACGCCGAUAAUGCUGGCUAAAGAUCAUCGGCUAGUCUGGUCCUAGUGUGCGCCGGUCGGCGCUGGAUCUUACGAAUUUAAAGAUCGGCUAAGCCUGUAGUAUAUCUCGGUCGGGGUGUCUUCUGGACGGGGAGUUCGACCCUCCCCCGUCUCCACCA